GUCUGGAGAUUGUGCUGGCCAUGGCAGGGUCUUGAUCUGGUCGUCCUCCAUCCACACCUUGAUUGACCUGGCUGUGUGGCAUGGAGCAUUGUCCUGCUG
Molecule: long non-coding RNA, 99 nt
Organism: Polyodon spathula (Mississippi paddlefish)
Lineage: Eukaryota; Metazoa; Chordata; Actinopteri; Acipenseriformes; Polyodontidae
Exons: 4
Source: RefSeq, a predicted model, not a curated record